UGCCGGUCCUCCCUAACAGGAGGCCAAGAGGGAACGCCGUGAUGUCCGCAGAGGGCAAAUCGGCGGCUGUACCCGCAGCUGUGAGCGGUUAGCGACUGUCCAACAAGCCACUGAACUCCGGUUCGGGAAGGCGGGCAGGCGCAGCGAUCCGCGAGCCAGAAGACCUGCCGGCGAU
RNAcentral lists this non-coding RNA (175 nucleotides) under uncultured Reyranella sp. The record is from RNAcentral. Lineage: Bacteria; Pseudomonadati; Pseudomonadota; Alphaproteobacteria; Hyphomicrobiales; Reyranellaceae.